RNAcentral lists this ribosomal RNA (234 nucleotides) under uncultured bacterium. Its description in RNAcentral is "partial 16S ribosomal RNA". It matches the Rfam family "Bacterial small subunit ribosomal RNA", at positions 118 to 347 of the family's 1533-position model. The record is from RNAcentral.
UGAGGAACAUGACCUUCGGCGGGGGAUAGCCGGCCCAACGGCCGGGUAAUACCGCGUACGACCUUUCGGGGACAUCCCUGGAUGGUGAAAGCAGCAAUGCGCCGAUGGAGUGCCUCGCGGCCUAUCAGCUAGUUGGUGAGGUAACGGCUCACCAAGGCAACGACGGGUAGCUGGCCUGAGAGGAUGGCCAGCCACAUUGGGACUGAGACACGGCCCAGACUCCUACGGGAGCAG